This is a long non-coding RNA of Lolium rigidum, 4650 nucleotides long. RefSeq lists it as uncharacterized. The transcript has 9 exons. Lineage: Eukaryota; Viridiplantae; Streptophyta; Magnoliopsida; Poales; Poaceae. The record is from RefSeq and is a predicted model, not a curated record.
CUCUGGCCGCCAAUCCUCCGUUACGCAUGACAGCACCUGCCGGCGAGACCUGCAAAUCCCUUGCGGCCGCCCACGAUCGUCUAUUAGGAGAACCACAUUACACCUCCCAACUUGCUGCUGGAGCCCCUCUCAGCUACCCCCGCCCGAAGAAAGGUGAGGAGGACAGCGGCGGUGUUGUUCCCGUUUGAGCGACUGGAUCCGAUCGAGAAGGGCACGAAUGGCUAAACAACGAAGGCUACGGCGCCGGCCAAGUUUGAGUACCGUUCAGGCCGUCGAGUGGGCUCCUAUCAUUAGAAUCUGAAAAACGGUUACCAGACCCAUCAUUGGAAUCGAAAAAAUGAUUGUCCAUCACGUUCGAAGAGCAGGCCCAUCAUCCGAAUGGGAAGAACGGUUCUCCUUCUACACGAGUUAACUAUAUCUGCCGGUGCCGUAAUGAUGGAUUGAUGAUGGUGGUAAUUUCGACCCAUUCUUAAUUCUUGCAAUUAUGCUCCCUCCCGUGAUUAUGACGAUUAGUUGGAGCGUUACUUUGAGUUCUCCCUUCUCGUUCAUAUAAAUAUGUGGACACAGCCCAUGUCUUUCCUCAGUACUUCCAUCUCACAUUGGACGUCUCAUUAUUCAUCCAAGAUACUUGUUGCUUAGGGAUUGUCGCCUUCGUUUCUUCCAGAUUCUUAUUCACGGAUUUCUCGGAGCAACUGUGUGACCUUCAUUAUUUCACAAUGGGGCUGGACAGGAUAAGCCUCCAUAGAAAAAAAUCACAAAGCGUUCUCGACCACGAAUCCAAGUUAACCAUGCCUACCAACCACGUUUUUUCACGGCUCAGGAAGGCAAGAGCAGCAUGAUUGGGUAGCAGUUUAGAGGCCUCUACAUAUGACUGAUGAGGUCUCUGGAGAGCCAAACAUCUUGUACAUUUCCCCCCGGUAUUAUAGGGCUCCUGAACUUAUGUUUGGAGCUACAGAGUUUACAACAGAAACUGAUAUUUGGUGUGUUGGUUGUGUACUAGCUGAGCUUCUGAUUGGUCAGGUAUAUAAUCUGAUUCUGGAAGCUCAGAUUUCUUCCAUCCAAGUUCAUUAGUUCAUAUUAUACUUCUUUAAACAAUACAAAUUGAUUUCGUAAGAAGGAUUUUAUUUUACGAUUAUAGAGUCUAUUAUUGGUUUAUUGCUGAAAGUAAGAAUUUUGGAGUCUGUGAACACUGGAGUGGAUCAGCAGCAUCUAGAACGCCACAUAUCAUAUCACUGAAGUAUGGUGCAUAUUUAUUUGAAGUUAUUUCAUUUUAGAAUGCUAAUGCUUGGUCAAUCAAGUUCAUAAUUGUUUGUUCUGUUUGCAAACUGCUUUUUGUACAUGAGAUGGACUUUUUAUUGACUAUUUUUUCCCGUUAGCAUGGUAAAUUGCAGAUUAUGUUUCCUGCAGAAUGUGGAGUUGAUCAAUUGGUCGAAAUAAUAAAGGUUUGUAGCUCCCGCCAAACCAUGAGGGUCAGUAAAGUAGACAAUAUUAGCUAUGGACUAUGAUGUAAAGAUUCAUCCGCCCCCUUGUGAUGGUUACUUAUAAUAUUCAGGAAAGUGGCAUCAAAAGAAAACAGUUCUGUCUACAACUGUAGGUUUGAUGCAGCAGUGAACUUGGACUAUAAAUUACAAGUUCUUUCUGGAACUGUAACUAAGGCUCCCUUGCUGUGCUAUCAUGGAUUCUGCAUCGUACUAAUUAAUCUCAUGUUUUUGUUUUGUCUUCCGUUAUUGCAAAAUCUGAACUGUAAUUACUCGGACUAUCUAAACCAGAGUUAGUCCAGCUUGGAUGAAUCAUCAAAGUUUGGUACUUGGAAUCGCUUACUGAAUCGAUUGAUCUAGAAGAUUUAUGUGGAGAUAAUUAGACGGUGGUGCCACAACAGUACAUGACAAAAGAUAGGAAGCUCUACUGUGUAUGUCUGAUUCUUCAUCGAAUUCAUUCUAGCAUAUUGUGAGCAAGAUGGACACUUUCAGAGUUCUUUAUUUGUGUACUAUACAAGCCAAACAUCAGGACUUCUGUACAACAGCCCAAAAUCUGUUGGAAGAUUGGUGAUGUGACUUUCUUCCCCGAAAGAAUUGAUGCACAGAAGAUAUAUUAAGAGAUUGAUGCAUGAUGUUGGUAAGCACAAUGGUGAUUUGAUAAUUUUGUUUAUGUGUUUCUGUGUUUUUUGUGUUUCUGUAAAGAGUACUUUAUGCAUAUAUGAGAUUAUUUAUAUUCCCAAAUCUAUCGUUAUGGUUCUUCUAUAUACAUUUUCCAUAAUACGCCUCUGUAGGAUUUUGUUUCUUUGUAUGUUCUGCUGCCUUCUUCUCGCCACGUUUCAUCACAAAGAGCAAAACAUGCAAUAUUUAGUGAUUUAAUGAUCAAUUUUAGCCUUGCAUAUUUGUUUAACUGAUGCAUCAAAUCAGUACCUUGAACUGGCUUUUGUUGCUGUCUUUGCCACAUAUCCAUUUUCCAAUUUCUUCUUCACCUGUUUCUUCAUAUAAUUUCUGGAGGGUCGUUGUUGUCCAAGGUAUGUAAUAUGUAUAUAUCUUCCCUUUUGUUCACACAUCCCGCAGUUGCGUCCUUCUAAAUGUAGAUAUUAAACGAUAUGCUCAUCUGUCGCAAUAAGGUGUUCUGACUGUAAGAUCUUGCUUGAUGUGAAGCUCAUUUAGUACUUAACUGCAAAAUAAAGUUCUUUUUGAGUGGAAGGUCUGUGACUUGGGAAGUUCAAUUAGGUAAUUGCACGUAAGUUGCUUUUCAUUUUAGAAAAUCAUAUAAACUGGUGGUCUGUUCUACAGCAAUUUAAUUUAAAUUAUCUUCACAUAUUCUUGUGGCAUUCUCCAAUUCAAAAACAACACCGUUAUUUUGGGGCUAUUACCUCAUGUUCUUUUUUUACGAAAGCAGUCAGCGCUGCAUUCUUUUAUAUAUAGACGAAGAUGAAACAAGGUACUGUAGUACAUAAAGUGGCCAGAGGCCAAUCCAGUUUACGCAUCCAAGAGUAAACUAAACUGCACUAGCUCAUUCUAUGCAGUGUGGUGAUGCUAAGACUGAUGCAGACAUAACCAAAACAGACCAGGAAACCAUAAAUACGAGAUCUGAAGGUGGUCAGUAUGCUAUCUGAUUGACCCUCUUCUCAUGACACCAAGUGGGCACUAAGUGCCACGAAUUCACAUAUGGCAACCUAUUGAUGAUAUUUUUCCCCCCUAUUGAUAGUACCACUGUAGCAUAAAUUUGCAGCUAUUAUAUUUUGCUUCUGGACAAUUAUAUUUGAAGCAAAUUCGUUAAAUGAAUUCCUUUUGAGACAAUAAACUUUUAGUGUUUUUGAACUGUGAGUAUUACCCUAUCUUUUGUUGUCAGUAUCUGGCUUGGUGGCUCCAUAACAAAACCUAAAAUCGUUUUAUGUCCAGUAUGUAGACCGCCUUCCAGCCACAGGAAAGACCUUAAGAUUGUCACAGAUAUGCUUAGACUUGAUGCAACCAGCUAAGCUAGCACACCAUGGCUCGUAUUCUCGGUCAAUUGAACUGACUUGUAUUCACCAUCUACAUGUCCUAAUAAUAACCAUAUAUAGUUGAAGGUCCAAGCUCAAAGCAACUCCAAACCUAUUAUAUAACCAGUCUUGUCGAGAAUUGCAUUGGAGCUCCUGGGUGCCACGCCCACCAUGCCCCUCCGCGACACUUUCCCUUGGUCCACACGUUUGCUGCUGUAUAGAGAUUUGUAUUAUGUUUAACUGAAGAAAAAUAUUGUAAACGAUUUUACUGAACAUACAUGCGCACUAAUGCAUUGGGAUCUCACUCAACAUGGAUGAUGUUUGGAAUCCGUCCAAGGUCAAUUGACCUGCUAAUGUCACGUCCAGGUCUUGUAUCCUGGGUACUAUCGGCUCAAGACUCAACCUCGUCUUACUCACUCGACCACAGUAUAGAAAAAAUUGUCUGGCUAGCCUAAACCACUGAUCUCCCAACCAUUGAUCUAUUCAGUCCCCGAGAUCUCUUAAUUAUCUGUGUGUUGUAGAAAAAUUUGGGGCUUUUAGUUCCAACAAUGGUUGUAAUAUUACUUGUUAAAAAUCAACUAUUCAGUUAUGCCAAAUGUAUGAUUCAGUUCUUGCAAGUGUAAUUUUCGUCUUUCAUGUUGCCAUAUAUUUAAAAAAUUACAACCAAUUUACUGAAUAAUAGAUGGGCGCGGCAACGUGCGCCAUUAUGAUCUAGUAGCUCAUAUAAGAUGCCAGGACCAUGUGGAAAUGUAAAAUCUGCAGCCUCUUCACUGAAUGCAUGAUCUGAGGCGUUGUUGAAACACACAACAAGCAGUGCAGUAUCCGGUUGAAUCCCAUUGGUGAAACUGAAUACCACCACUAGGUCCCCCAGGACUAAUUAUUGGGUCGCCACUGUUUACCUUGACCUUAACUUCUUCAGUGUCUAGUUUGGUGAUGUCGACUUUAAGAUGUAGGCAACUCCAGCAAGCAGCAGCAUGGAGUACAGGAUUAAUGCCAUCAGAAGCAAUAUAUUGUAUGCAUGCACUCAAGCUAAGAAAUAAGUAGUCAGCCGUCGUCUGGACGAACUGAACUUGAUGGCCCACUGCAUAUUUAUCUAGCAUCAUAUCGUGUAUGAUAUACUUUUUUUUUGCGAAUGUGUAUGAUAUACAAAACACCAGGAUCCCAAUUCCCACGUGUAAUUAGUAUUG